Molecule: ribosomal RNA, 249 nt
Filed under: uncultured Bacteroidales bacterium
Lineage: Bacteria; Pseudomonadati; Bacteroidota; Bacteroidia; Bacteroidales
Description: partial 16S ribosomal RNA
Rfam family: Bacterial small subunit ribosomal RNA
Source: RNAcentral
UAAGGAAUAUUGGGCAAUGGUCGGAAGACUGACCCAGCCAUGCCGCGUGCAGGAAGAAGGCCCUAUGGGUUGUAAACUGCUUUAGCCAGGGGCUAAACCUACCGAUGCGUUGGUAGCUGAAGGUACCUGGAGAAUAAGCAUCGGCUAACUCCGUGCCAGCAGCCGCGGUAAUACGGAGGAUGCGAGCGUUAUCCGGAUUUACUGGGUUUAAAGGGUGCGCAGGCGGUUGGUUAAGUCAGGGGGGGAAUU